This 496-nucleotide unclassified non-coding RNA is filed under the name Athalia rosae (coleseed sawfly). RNAcentral's name for it is "misc RNA ENSAEAG00005003674.1". Lineage: Eukaryota; Metazoa; Arthropoda; Insecta; Hymenoptera; Athaliidae. The record is from RNAcentral.
AACAGGCUAAUAAUGAUUGAGUACGAAUAGUUCCGACCAAUGGUUUUCAAACAAACGAUGAACAAGUACACUAAUAAGUGUCUGAGAAAACGGACGAAACGUCGCCGUUGGAAAUAACAAAAGUUGUUCGCUCUGUAUGACUUCUCGGUGGUGAUCGAGUGUUAGUGGCACCUGUUGCACCGCUGACGAGACCGAAUUUUUUCGAUUCAUCGUACAGUUCCUAAAACAAUUGCAUUUCAAAUAAAAAAAAAAAAAAAAACAUAUAACAGUAAAAACUUUUUCCCGCCGUUUUACUGCCCAUGGGCUAUUCGUCGCUUCGUACAGUGCGCCCAGUUGCAUCUCACAACAGUAAUUCUUACCAAGUCCGAAAGGAGGAAUUUUUAAGUCUUGGAUGUCUGGUUUCGAAAAAUGAAUUAUGACCCUUACGAGCAGCCCGUGUGAGCUAGACAACAUGAGCUUGUUUCAAGAUCUCAAGUUGAAAAGGAGAAAGGUCGAU